Long non-coding RNA from Hypanus sabinus (Atlantic stingray), 487 nucleotides. RefSeq lists it as uncharacterized. The record is from RefSeq and is a predicted model, not a curated record. The transcript is spliced from 3 exons. Lineage: Eukaryota; Metazoa; Chordata; Chondrichthyes; Myliobatiformes; Dasyatidae.
UCUUGUUGACAUUGAGUGAGAGAUUGUUGUUGUGGCACUACUCAGCCAGAUUUUCAAUCUCCCUCCAAUAUACUGAUUCAUCACCACCUUUGAUUGGACUAUAUCUAGCUUCAUCUGGCUUUUUUUAAAAUUUAAGUUAUAGCAGAAAUGAAGUGUCUGAAGAUGCUGCCUGACCCACUGAGCUCCUCCAGCAGAAAUGGCAUGGCAAGAAAUUUUUAAAGACUUCUGAUGAUGAAGUGCCUGCUGAUCACAAAUUAACAGAUAAACUUAUUGAUACUGCCUGACCAGCUGCAUAUUUCCAGCUGUGGUGAACUACAUAUACGUGUCUGGACAUCCCCCCCCCUGCUGACUGCUCCUGUGGCUCCUCCCACAGACCCCUGUAUAAAGGUGAUUGAGGCCUGAGCCCGGCUCUCAGUCUCCAGGAUGUAGUAUGGUGGUCAACCACUGCUUGUUCCUUCUUCCAGUCAAUAAAAGCCAAUAUAUCGCC